Eurytemora carolleeae is the source of this 145-nucleotide long non-coding RNA. RefSeq lists it as uncharacterized. The record is from RefSeq and is a predicted model, not a curated record. NCBI's taxonomy places the organism in Eukaryota, Metazoa, Arthropoda, Copepoda, Calanoida, Temoridae. The transcript is spliced from 2 exons.
UUGAAAUUCUAAAUUUUGUAUUUUCAGGUUCUUAAUCUCAGUAAUGUAAAGAACUUAACAGACAACGCAUUACACAAACUCCUGACUACACCACGAGAUUCAAGACCAGGAUUGUUGGAUAAAAAGUCCCGUCUGAAAAAUCUCC